RNAcentral lists this ribosomal RNA (197 nucleotides) under uncultured Bacillus sp. Its description in RNAcentral is "partial 16S ribosomal RNA". It matches the Rfam family "Bacterial small subunit ribosomal RNA", at positions 335 to 524 of the family's 1533-position model. Lineage: Bacteria; Bacillati; Bacillota; Bacilli; Caryophanales; Bacillaceae. The record is from RNAcentral.
ACUCCUACGGGAGGCAGCAGUAGGGAAUCUUCCGCAAUGGACGAAAGUCUGACGGAGCAACGCCGCGUGAACGAUGAAGGCCUUCGGGUCGUAAAGUUCUGUUGUUAGGGAAGAACAAGUACCAGAGUAACUGCUGGUACCUUGACGGUACCUAACCAGAAAGCCACGGCUAACUACGUGCCAGCAGCCGCGGUAAU